Molecule: ribosomal RNA, 429 nt
Filed under: Chloroflexota bacterium
Lineage: Bacteria; Bacillati; Chloroflexota
Description: Chloroflexi bacterium partial 16S ribosomal RNA
Rfam family: Bacterial small subunit ribosomal RNA
Source: RNAcentral
UGGGGAAUAUUGCACAAUGGGCGCAAGCCUGAUGCAGCCAUGCCGCGUGUGUGAAGAAGGCCUUCGGGUUGUAAAGCACUUUCAGCGGGGAGGAAGGCGAUAAGGUUAAUAACCUUGUCGAUUGACGUUACCCGCAGAAGAAGCACCGGCUAACUCCGUGCCAGCAGCCGCGGUAAUACGGAGGGUGCAAGCGUUAAUCGGAAUUACUGGGCGUAAAGCGCACGCAGGCGGUCUGUCAAGUCGGAUGUGAAAUCCCCGGGCUCAACCUGGGAACUGCAUUCGAAACUGGCAGGCUAGAGUCUUGUAGAGGGGGGUAGAAUUCCAGGUGUAGCGGUGAAAUGCGUAGAGAUCUGGAGGAAUACCGGUGGCGAAGGCGGCCCCCUGGACAAAGACUAACGCUCAGGUGCGAAAGCGUGGGGAGCAAACAGG